Molecule: ribosomal RNA, 1265 nt
Filed under: uncultured Ramaria
Lineage: Eukaryota; Fungi; Basidiomycota; Agaricomycetes; Gomphales; Gomphaceae
Description: eukaryotic LSU rRNA
Rfam family: Eukaryotic large subunit ribosomal RNA (bases 645-1265)
Source: RNAcentral
AGGAUCAUUAUAGAAACACGUCGGGGGUUCGAAGCGCUGGCCCUGGAAGAAGGGGCACCGUGCGCGCCCCUGACCCCUUCGUCCCACAAAUACACCUGUGCACCUAGCGAGCGCCUCCCAUAUAGGAGCCGUCCUGAUGUAGAACCCCUUCGGGGGGGAGUCGGGCCCGGGGCGUUCCCUCUUUACCUUUACACAACCGUCUGUUCAAACGCAUGUCUUUUUUUUGAAGCCCUACGGGGCGAAAGCGGAACACAACUUUCAACAACGGAUCUCUUGGCUUUCGCAUCGAUGAAGGACGCCGCGAACGCGCGAAACGUAAUGUGAAUUGCAGAAUUCAGUGAAUCAUCGAAUCUUUGAACGCAUCUUGCGCUCCUUGGUAUUCCGAGGAGCAUGCCUGUUUGAGUGUCGUGAACUUACCUCAAACCCCACUCUCUCUCCCGAGGAUGGGGUUUGGAUUUGGACGCUUGCGGCGGGGGGGUCUCUCUCUCCUGCCGCUCGUCUUUAAAUGCAUCAGCUGGUCCCUCGCAGUCGGUCCAACGAACGGUGUGAUAACAAACGCUUCGUUGACUGUGGCGCCGUUUUCGGCCGACUCGUAUUGGAGUGGGGGGUCGCUUAGAGCCGUCUUCGGACAGUCUGUUGUCGUCUGACCUCAAAUCAGGUAGGACUACCCGCCGAACUUAAGCAUAUCAAUAAGCGGAGGAAAAGAAACUAACGAGGAUUCCCCUAGUAACGGCGAGUGAAGCGGGAAGAGCUCAAAUUUGUAAUCUGGCGGUCUGUGGCCGUCCGAGUUGUAGUCUGGAGAAGCGUUUUCUGCGUCGGACCGUGUGCAAGUCCCUUGGAACAGGGCGUCACAGAGGGUGAGAAUCCCGUCUUUGGCACGGACCGCCGACGCUUUGCGAUGCGCUCUCGAAGAGUCGAGUUGUUUGGGAAUGCAGCUCAAAUCGGGUGGUAAACUCCAUCUAAAGCUAAAUACGGGCGAAAGACCGAUAGCGAACAAGUACCGUGAGGGAAAGAUGAAAAGCACUUUGGAAAGAGAGUUAAACAGUACGUGAAAUUGUUGGAAGGGAAACGCUUGAAGUCAGUCGCGUCCCUCGGGACUCAGCCGAGCCUCUCGGUGUACUUCCCGGGGCGACGGGCCAGCGUCGAUUUCGACCGUCGGAGAAAGGCUUUGGGAAUGUGGCACCUUCGGGUGUGUUAUAGCCUUGGGUCGCAUGCGACGGUUGGGAUCGAGGAUCGCAGCACGCCCUUUUGGCCGGGGUUCGCCC